GACGAACGCUGGCGGCGUGCCUAAUACAUGCGAGUAGAACGCACAGUUUAUACCGUAGCUUGCUACACCAUAGACUGUGAGUUGCGAACGGGUGAGUAACGCGUAGGUAACCUGCCUGGUAGCGGGGGAUAACUAUUGGAAACGAUAGCUAAUACCGCAUAAUAUUAAUUAUUGCAUGAUAAUUAGUUGAAAGGUGCAAUUGCACCACUACCAGAUGGACCUGCGUUGUAUUAGCUAGUAGGUGGGGUAACGGCUCACCUAGGCGACGAUACAUAGCCGACCUGGGAGGGGGAUCGGCCACACUGGGACUGAGACACGGCCCAGACUCCUACGGGAGUCAGCAGAAGGGAAUCUUAGGGAAUGAACGAAAGUAUAACGGAGCAACGCCGGGUGGGUGAAGAAGGUGUUCGGAUCGUAAAGCUCUGUUGUAAGAGAAGAACGGGUGUGAGAGUGGAAAGUUCACACUGUGACGGUAUCUUACCAGAAAGGGAGGGCUAACUAAGUG
This 505-nucleotide ribosomal RNA is filed under the name uncultured bacterium. RNAcentral describes it as "partial 16S ribosomal RNA". It matches the Rfam family "Bacterial small subunit ribosomal RNA", at positions 28 to 507 of the family's 1533-position model. The record is from RNAcentral.